GGGGUUGUGGCUCAGUGGUAGAGCACUUGCCUAACAUGUGACUGGGUUUGAUUCUCAGCCCCA
This 63-nucleotide transfer RNA is filed under the name Urocitellus parryii (Arctic ground squirrel). RNAcentral's name for it is "Spermophilus parryii (Arctic ground squirrel) tRNA". It matches the Rfam family "tRNA". From Rfam's summary of the family: Transfer RNA (tRNA) molecules are approximately 80 nucleotides in length. Their secondary structure includes four short double-helical elements and three loops (D, anti-codon, and T loops). Further hydrogen bonds mediate the characteristic L-shaped molecular structure. tRNAs have two regions of fundamental functional importance: the anti-codon, which is responsible for specific mRNA codon recognition, and the 3' end, to which the tRNAs corresponding amino acid is attached (by aminoacyl-tRNA synthetases). tRNAs cope with the degeneracy of the genetic code in two manners: having more than one tRNA (with a specific anti-codon) for a particular amino acid; and 'wobble' base-pairing, i.e. permitting non-standard base-pairing at the 3rd anti-codon position. Lineage: Eukaryota; Metazoa; Chordata; Mammalia; Rodentia; Sciuridae. The record is from Rfam by way of RNAcentral. RNAcentral also lists the same sequence under 1 other name.